Molecule: long non-coding RNA, 1966 nt
Filed under: Homo sapiens (human)
Lineage: Eukaryota; Metazoa; Chordata; Mammalia; Primates; Hominidae
Description: non-protein coding lnc-STARD13-2:6
Source: RNAcentral
GCUCUUCUCGGGGAGUGGAGUGCUAUGACAGAUGAGACUUUCAUGCAAGAAAAUAAAUCCUGCACAUUUGAUGUACUGCUUUAAACUUAAAGACCUCUUUGGACCCGAAAUUGUAAGGUAAGGAGUGCUCAGCCACAAUUCUUGAACUUUGAAACUGUGAGUGUAAUUUGAGGACGCUCCUUAAAACUCUUUGUUGUUUAAUAUGAAACUCUAACAUGCUGCCUAACCUCCUGCCUUUAGGAAUAACAGCUCACUGUCAAACGUGCACGCACAGCUCUGACUUAAAAGGAAAAAACUCACCACUGUUUAAAAAAUAAAAUGUCUUCCAUAAUGAAACGGUCAUGUAGAUUUGUUGUACUUUUACACAUGUGUGGAAGUGUCCAGAAUAGACUGGGUUUUCUCUCUGCUCUCUGUAAAUCAGUAUGCUUAAAAAUGGGAUCAAAUUAUCCUUGCCAGUUGAAAGGGGGUCUGGGUGCAGGUCCAAUCCCAUAGAGAGAAAACACCAGUGCAACUGUAACCAAAUGGCAGUCCCGAUCCGCAGGACUUUAUCCUGAAUGUCGCUUCCUGCUUGCUUAGGCAUGGGAGGGGAUUAAACUCCGCCGCUACAACUUCAUUGGCACUGCUCUGUAAGAUGUGAAAAAUCUGUUGGGAUCAGGUGUUAGUGUGUACAGUCCAGUUUCCUGUGAUUGCGGCAAAUUAAAUUGGAAAGUUGAAAGUAAUUAUAGUACAGACUAGGAGCCAAGGAUUUAUCAGACAUAAAAGGAGGUAGAACAAGUUCAACAAUAUAGAAGGCAAUUAUUUGUCUAAUGUUGUUAACAAAAUCCGAUCUUCCUGUAGAAAUGUACAGGAACUUUUAAUAUUUUUGUUCAAGUCUGAUCUGCCUCCAGAGGUAGAAUACUCGAUGCUUUUAGCUAGCUCAUUGAUCUGUUCCUAAGAGGGCAUCACUGUAUAAUAUUUCUCUCUCACUGGGGAAAAUAAGAUGUUGAGUCUUCUUUUUGUGCCCUAGAGAACUUAAAAGAGAAGACGUAGAUGAUAAUCAAACUGCAUCUAUUUUCUUAAAUCUUUGUCCACAUGUUCCUACUCUCCUCCUUUGCCUUUAUCAGAUAUACAGGGACUAAGUUAAUUGUUACUUCCCCUGAGAUCUCCAAACCCUCACUGUACCCUUUUCACAGAGAGCACCAAUCUGCAUCCAUAUCUCCCUCCACAAAAAGCAAACCAUAUUCUUGCUCCAUAUCCUUUCUCAUCCUUGAUAGGGGCUUAUAUUUCCAUGUAAGUCCCCAGGGCAUAUUCCCAUGACACAGGUUCUCUCCUACCUACAUAUUGAGUAGGUGAACCCCAAAGGACAUCCUACCUAAAAUCUGAGGGUGCAGCAGUAGUGGAGUCUUGGCCUGAAAACUCUCUCCUCCAGACAUUUUCCUUUCCAGAACUAAGCUGCUUCACCUGACUUUAGGUAUUCUCAUGGCUUUAUGCUUUGAACCACAUGACUGAUUAGCUGCGCACAGAUUAGGGUAGGUGCUCAUUCACUCUAAGGAUUAGAAUGUUGAAGCUACCUUUGUCCUGGAGGGAAGAAAAUUUCCCCAACAGGCAUGCCAUAAACAUUGUGGGGGUCUCUGGAACUGAGAGUGGCUCUCUGAGGAUUUUUCUCUUUCUCCUGUCACUCUGUUUCUUGCUAAUCUUGGCACACAUUUUAAAAAUGGCUCUAGCCGAAAGGUGAAGGUUCCUAAGGAAGGGAAGCUGGGCUGUUUACUUCAUGCAGCCAGGACACCCAGGAUGUAGGUGUGAAGAAUAGCAGUGGGCUUGGAUUAGCAUUCCAGUGUGCCAUUGCCUUACUGAAAGAGUUAUUUUUAACUUGACAACAUUUCUCCACAUCUGCAUCCAAAUACUAUGUAUGUGAGGAUAAAUAUUUAAGUAAUGUGUUAGUUUCAUUAACCAGACACGACAUCAGAGCCAUUCUCGGCAAUUUCUU